RNAcentral lists this ribosomal RNA (618 nucleotides) under Paractenodia parva. RNAcentral's name for it is "partial large subunit ribosomal RNA". It matches the Rfam family "Eukaryotic large subunit ribosomal RNA", at positions 240 to 649 of the family's 3401-position model. The record is from RNAcentral. Lineage: Eukaryota; Metazoa; Arthropoda; Insecta; Coleoptera; Meloidae.
GUUCAAAGAGGAUUUCUCUUUAGAGUCGGGUUGCUUGAGAGUGCAGCCCUAAGUGGGUGGUAAACUCCAUCUAAGGCUAAAUAUUACCACGAGACCGAUAGCGAACAAGUACCGUGAGGGAAAGUUGAAAAGAACUUUGAAGAGAGAGUUCAAUAGUACGUGAAACCGUUCAGGGGUAAACCUGAGAAACCCGAAUAGAUGAACGAGAAGAUUCAGCGUAUCUCAUCUUCGGUCAUAAAAGGUUUGUGUGACAAAAUUUUGACUUGUCAUAAUUUUGCACCGGCCAUUUAUGAAUAUCGUUGAUGAAUGCGUGCACUUCUUCUCUAGUAAAACGUCGCGAUCCGUUGGAUGUUGAUUUAAGGUUUCCAAUGUAGUCUGUUCAGUAUGCAUGCUUCUAGUAUGUUUAUUGUUCAAACUUGGAAUAUCUGAUCAAUUAUUCCGACGGUAUUAAUAAAAUAUAAUGUCGCUUAUAAAGCGUUUAAUUUUGUAACAAGCAUAUUCGUGUGAUUAGUAAUCGGAUUUAAUGCCGAUGCUAGUCCCGAAUUGUUUGCUGCAAAAAUAAUAAACAGACAUAAAAUAAAAAUCAGCGACGCUAUUGUUUUGGGUAAUUUCAGGACC